Molecule: ribosomal RNA, 495 nt
Filed under: uncultured bacterium
Lineage: Bacteria
Description: partial 16S ribosomal RNA
Rfam family: Bacterial small subunit ribosomal RNA
Source: RNAcentral
GAUGAACGCUGGCGGCGUGCCUAAUACAUGCGAGUCGAACGCUGACGGAGGAGCUUGCUCUUCGGGAUGAGUUGCGAACGGGUGAGUAACGCGUAGGUAACCUGCCUGGUAGCGGGGGAUAACUAUUGGAAACGAUAGCUAAUACCGCAUGACAACAGUUAUGGAAUGAUAACUGUUUAAAAGGGGCAACUGCUCCACUACCAGAUGGACCUGCGGUGUAUUAGCUAGUUGGUGAGGUAACGGCCCACCAAGGCGGAGAUACAGUGCCGGCCUGAAAGGGUGGACGGCCACACUUGGACUUGGGAACCGCCCAAGCUCCUACGGGGAGCAGCAAGAGGGGAUCUUUGGAAAUGGGCGGAAGGCUGACCGAGCAACGCCGCGGGAGUGAAGGAAGUUUUCGGGUUGUAAAGCUCUGUUUUAAGAGAAGAACGAGUGUGAGAGUAGAAAGUUCACACUGUGACGGUAUCUUACCAGAAAGGGACGGCUAACUACGUG